This 62-nucleotide transfer RNA is filed under the name Tettigades dumfriesi. Its description in RNAcentral is "tRNA-Ala". Lineage: Eukaryota; Metazoa; Arthropoda; Insecta; Hemiptera; Cicadidae. The record is from RNAcentral.
AGGAAUGUAUUUAAUUAUAAUAAUUAGGUUGCAUCUAAUAGGUGUCAAAUAGACCAUUCUUG